Molecule: ribosomal RNA, 751 nt
Filed under: uncultured Glomus
Lineage: Eukaryota; Fungi; Glomeromycota; Glomeromycetes; Glomerales; Glomeraceae
Description: SSU rRNA
Rfam family: Eukaryotic small subunit ribosomal RNA
Source: RNAcentral
GCCUACCAUGGUGGUAACGGGUAACGGGGUGUUAGGGCACGACACCGGAGAGGGAGCCUGAGAAACGGCUACCACAUCCAAGGAUGGCAGCAGGCGCGCAAAUUACCCAAUCCCGACACGGGGAGGUAGUGUCAAUAAAUAACAAUACGGGGUUCUUUCGGAUUUCGUAAUUGGAAUGAGUACAAUUUAAAUCUCUUAACGAGGAACAAUUGAAGGGCAAGUCUGGUGCCAGCAGCCGCGGUAAUUCCAGCUCCAAUAGCGUAUAUUAAAGUUGCUGCAGUUAAAAAGCUCGUAGUUGAAUUUCGGGACCAAUAUGUCGGUCGUGCCUCGGUACGUGCUGGCAUCGUUGGUUUCUCCCUUCUGACGAACCAUGAUGUCAUUUAUUUGGUGUCGUGGGGAAUCAGGACUGUUACUUUGAAAAAAUUAGAGUGUUUAAAGCAGGCUCACGCUUGAAUACAUUAGCAUGGAAUAAUGAAAUAGGACGUUUGAUUCUAUUUUGUUGGUUUCUAGGAUCGACGUAAUGAUUAAUAGGGAUAGUUGGGGGCAUUAGUAUUCAAUUGUCAGAGGUGAAAUUCUUGGAUUUAUUGAAGACUAACUACUGCGAAAGCAUUUGCCAAGGAUGUUUUCAUUAAUCAAGAACGAAAGUUAGGGGAUCGAAGACGAUCAGAUACCGUCGUAGUCUUAACCAUAAACUAUGCCGACUAGGGAUCGGAUGAUGUUAAUUUUUUAAUGACUCAUUCGGCGCCUUACG